CAGGAGCCUUUUCUCCAGCAUGUCUUUUUGGGGCUGCCCCUUUAAAAUGGGCAGAACCAAGAAGCUGCAGCCAUUUUGUGACUGACUGCUGCUUGCUGUAUCUCCCUGCCUUCCAUCUGGUUUCAUUGGAUGUACAUCUUUGUCUCAGAGCAUCCUGGCGGGAUCCUGGAAGCAAAGCUUAGCUAGUUCUACAACACGUGGAGGAUUAAAAGAUAUCAGAGGCAUUAAAAACUGACAACUGCAAUUUUAAUAUGCCAGGUCAACAGACAGAAUGUCCCAUUCUCUGAAGAUGGGCCUCAGAACGUUGCAUUUCAGGGGCUACUCAUGAUUCUGGGAGAAAUUCCUGCUGAGGUGAUCAGCCAACUGUAUCCGGCUCCUGGGGCUCCAGGAUCGCCAGUGGCACCCUGACAAAGCUGAACUCAGGAGAUAGAUAGACAAAUUUUAACCAGCUUUGAAGUGGAUGAAGGCGCAAUCUGUCAGGAUGGACUAAAUAACUGCAUGUGCCCAGGCACACAGACUGAAGUUGAAUGACGAGAUUGGAAGGACAGACACAGGAGAAGUCCUGCUGCCUAGCAGGAUAAGCCAUCUGCCUGAAGUACUUCUGGGAAUAUUGACAAUAUUGCUGCUGUGGUUGCUGAGCUCCAUAAUGAUGACUUUUAACUUCUGGUAUAGCCCCCAAUGAACAUACAGUGGUCGGAGAGUCCUUAAAGGAAUACAGCAUCUCAUUAGUCUUUUUGGAAAACAAGAACUGACCAUUAAAGGAACAGCUCAGCUGCCAGCAAAAGCAGGUGCUCUCACCAUAUCUGAGCUCCAGAGGAAAUAUUUAGGAAAUGGAAAACCUGAUGCUUGGCUACAGAUCCUGUAAAGUUAUCUGGACGCUGCUUAUAACAAUUUUAGGCUAUACUAGCUGUCUGCCUGUGAGUGAUGAUUCUGUUUGCACAGCAGAGGAAGUUGCUAAGUACAGCAUACUCUUUGUAGGGAAAUGGAGUCAGGCUGCUUUCCCUAAGCAGUAUCCCCUUUAUAGGCCUCCAGCACAGUGGUCUUCCUUGCUAGGUGUUACCCAUAGUUCUGACUAUAACAUGUGGAAAAAGGAUGAAUAUGCCAGCAAUGGUGUGCGUGAUUUUGCUGAAAAAGGUGAAGCAUGGACAUUAAUGAAGGAAAUAGAAGCAGCUGGAGAAAAAAUUCAAAGUGUGCAUGGAAUCUUCUCAGCUCCUGCCAUUUCCAGUGGUACAGGACAAACCUUCACGGAAUUAGAAGCACAUUCAAGACGCUCCUUACUUUCUUUUGUUGUACGAAUUGUGCCCAGCCCUGAUUGGUUUGUGGGUGUUGACAGUCUAAAUCUAUGUGAAGGAGAUCAUUGGAAAGAACAAGUAACAGUAGAACUUUUUCCAUAUGAUGCUGGAACAGACAGUGGUUUCACAUUUUCCUCACCAAACUUUGCCACUAUUCCACAGGACACUGUUACAGAAAUCACUUGUUCCUCUCCAAGUCACCCAGCAAACUCAUUUUAUUAUCCCAAGCUAAAAAGUUUGCCACCUAUUGCUCGAGUAACCAUUGUAAAACUUAAAAGAAACCAGCUGGGUCUUCCUGGUCCUGAGCCUAACCUGACGGCUACAGACAAUGCAAUAGAUGACUCUGUCUUAGAAACACCAUUGGACUGUGAGAUUUCACUGUGGUCUUCCUGGGGUCUUUGCAGAGGUACUUGUGGAAAGAUAGGGACCAAAACCAGAACUCGUUAUGUACGCCUUCAACCUGCCAAUAAUGGAACUCCUUGUCCAAACCUGGAUGAAGAAAUAGAAUGUGAACCAGACAAUUGUGUCUGAAAUCUCCUUUCCAGUGGAAUAAAGAAUAGACAAUAAUUUAGAUAAUUUAAAUUAAGGUUAGAUUUAGUUGAAUCUAUACUCCAUGUCAGUCACUAUUCCUUAUAAUUCAGGACUCAGAUGAGGAUCCUGAUGAGUCCUGAAGAAAUUAGAACUUUUAUCAGCAUAGUACAUACUGGUCUUCCAAACACUGAACAAACAAUUAAAACAAACACUCGGCUCCAGUCAAAUACAGCUAAGUAUUUUUUAAAAAACCCUAACUUUUGUCAUUUCUGGAUGCCUUGUAUUCUUCUGAUUAUCAUUCUCCUGUCCUCCAUCCCCCUCGUUUCACUUAUUCUUGUUUAUAACAUCUUUUUUUUUUCUCCACGUUCCUCCUGUGUCCACAUUCGUACAGGUUCAGUAGCUCUCAAAUAUCCUGAUUUUGGGGAGAAAAGAACUUUUCUCAGAUCUCUCCACAUUCUGUAUUAUGUUUAUGUCCUUUUCCAUUCUUUGUUUAUUUUCUAUACAGAAAUCUUCCUUAUUUUCUGUUUUGGGUUUUUUUAAAUUUAACUGUAUAAAUACCUAGAUAAACAAUUACAUCCAAGGUAUAAGAACAACUUUAAAAUGUAUUAAAAUAUACAUGUGAAGUAUGCUCUCUGCUUUUAUAUAUCCUGUUCCCUCGCUCCUUCCCCAGUCCAUUUUCAUUGCUCUUUGUCCCAUUCAUUUCAUGGCUGUGAGACAGCCAUGUUACUGCAAGGCAUGAAUUUAGCCUCCAGCAUCAUUCCUAUUAAUGGACAGAAUUUGAACUGUUGACUGAUAAAUGGCUAAAGGCUCCAAGUCCUAUUACUAGUCCAUGUUCCUGGACUGAUGAUAGAACCCUAAGUGAAAACAUAAUAUGUGAUGGUUACAAACACUAGGAAUGAGAGGAUAAGAAGAAACUUGUAAUAUUUUCCACGCGAUCUCAUGACGACAGCUGUAACUUAUAACAACAUGAAAUAUAUAAUAAAGGCCAGAUUUUUCAAGUACUCAGCACCCGCAAAUUGAGGCUGGUUUUUCAAAAACACUCAACCACUGCUUCCAUUAUGACAUUUAUGUAACCCCCUUGAGGUUUAGAGAGCCUGGCCCCUUUAAAACUUUGUCCGGAGGCAGAGGGAGUGCUGAUUGUUGCAGCAAGAAGAAGUGCUGGUUGUUCCAGGGGUGUGGAGAGAGGUAGAGUGACAGGGUAGGUCUGUCUGUUGCUACAGAGAGAACGACUAUAACAAGCAGGCCCUCACAUAGUGAAGCAGCCGAGAAUCAGCCCGAAGCCUGGAAGGGACAGAAUGACCAAACAGGGACGCCCCAGGACAGGAGACAGGAGGAACACCAUGCUAAAGAGGAAUCACUUGAGAAGAACAAACCAGAGCUGGACUCAGUAUCACAGUUGCCCAGAGAUGGAUGGGGCCAUCAGGAUGAAGGAUAGUAAUCCUGAGGUAAAUGCCUGUAUUUGUCUAUUAAACGCCGAGGGAGUUUGCCUGGGAUCUGUCUGAGAGGAGG
This is an RNA transcript of Dermochelys coriacea (leatherback sea turtle), 3332 nucleotides long. It is a transcript of the gene named spondin 2, with no coding region annotated. NCBI's taxonomy places the organism in Eukaryota, Metazoa, Chordata, Testudines, Dermochelyidae. The transcript is spliced from 13 exons. The record is from RefSeq and is a predicted model, not a curated record.